This is a long non-coding RNA of Zootermopsis nevadensis, 2211 nucleotides long. RefSeq lists it as uncharacterized. Lineage: Eukaryota; Metazoa; Arthropoda; Insecta; Blattodea; Termopsidae. The record is from RefSeq and is a predicted model, not a curated record.
CAGAAUCGUUAUUGGACCGGUUUCUGCAAGUACUCGUGGGAGGGCGGCACUAUCAUUAUAACAACAUUUGUUGGGGCCUCAAGAGAGGACUUUUGAAUCACGUCGGUAAUAUCUUGUGCCACGGCUCGACUGAACUGCACGGAACGCCAGGCAGGGCGUAGGUGGGGCGUAGGAGUCUCCCUCUGCAUUCACUGCCUGCAGCUGACGUGGAAAGUGGACAGAUACGCAACUGUGCACAGAGAAAUAUGGGAGGAUUUCCUAGAGAGGUUCCCACGGCGACGGGUAUGAAGAUGGCCGACUUCUGGGAGUUGCGUAAUGCAGAACGGCAGAAGUUGAGAGACGUUUCUGAGGUUUUCCAACGAGAGGCAAGUGAAUCAACACCCUACGAAAAAAAAAAAGAUGUUACAUCCCUGCCGGGACGAGGCUUUGGACCUACCGUCUCCUUGUAGAGACGCUGGAACAUUUGUCGGUCCUUGUAACAGUUCGACGCCAAGGACGGCGGCCGACGGAAGAAGGCUUCGUUUAGACGACCCGUAAAUUAGCGUCUCCUUAGCUUAAGUGGCACAAUGAUAAACGAUGUCUUGAAGCAAAUCCUUUUAGAAUCCUAGUGAAGCAUGGAUGUCCCGUCGGAACGGAAAGGUGGUGGUUUGACGUGAAGGGGUUCUUGAGAAAACGGAGUGCAAGAACGAACGAGAAUGGGGUUACGAGUCGGAUGAAGAUAAUUGGCAUAUUCCUCCCACCCUCUCCGGCUCGUUUAGAAGCAUUUUCGUGCCAUUCUUUCUUUUUCUAUCUCAGUGAGUAAGCUAUUAAAGGAACUCGAGUCUCGAACGAAGAAGGCAGCUUACUGAUGUAAUGCACAGCUCCACGCUAGAAGAGGGAGGUUAAUGUAAAGAGGCAAUUUCGUAUCAGGUACGUCUUACAACUGUACUACAGGAAGAAGGGAACUUUGUAAAGUAAUUCACUUCAACUGCAAAGUUACUAUCUCGGCUGAAACAUUCAAACUCCCAUUACACUGACAACAAGCAUUAAUUUGGAAGAUUCGAUCAGAAAAGGACAAGGGCUUUAUGGCUGAUACAGUUCUAUGCCAAUGGAAAACUCAAUUAGUUGUGUGGGUUAAGAAAUCACACCGAAAUACGGAAAUUUAAGGACUGCGUCAAAUUAAGUGUAGCAAUUUCAAAUCUGCCCCAGCUUUGGACAGAACCUGGAAGAUUAAGUGUAAUUCGGAAAAUUGCUCUGUAGCGCAAGAUUAUAUUCACGAUGAACAAAUUCAGCCGCAGUACGUCUCCAUUAUAACACCAAGUGGUUAAUAUUGGGCCGUGAAGGUUUUGGUCUGAGAUACCCAUCGCUGAUGACAGUGUCCAAAAGUUCCUCCGAAACGAGUAUUAAAGCAGGUGGAACUUGUCAUGAUAAAAGAGAGGAAAAAUGGUUGUGUAUUCAGAGCCAUUUCGUCUGAGUAAAAGCUGAGGUAAAAUUAGAGAUGUCCGUGGGACUUAACUAAGCAUCACGCCAUGCCGAGGAAUGGCAAAGCGGAGGUAUAGCUCCACGCGUUCUUAACCUCGGCUUCACACCCCGGCCACUUCGCCCCCGAGGAAACGAAGUUGGUACGCAAUGGACAGGAGGUCGGGUAGGGCCCCCGAAAAGGUCUGGACGAUGCAACUGAGAAGAAAAAUACGUUCUUGCCGGGAAUCGAACCUCGACGUGCAUACUCCGCAGCACGACUGUGUUGUUCCGGCAAUAAAAUGUUCUUUGCAGACAAAAAACUAAUCUUUAUUGGGACUAUUAAUAAUUCAACGAGAAACGUCUGCAUUUCCCAUGCUCCACUGCUAGAAGGGAAGGGCUCUGUUCUUUUGAGGCUGCUUAAAUCGACUAAUAGGACGAAUUUAAGACGUGUUCUAGUUCGUAGUCUCAACAGUAAUGGGCUCCACAUUAAAACUGAUGUUGCCGCCACCGCCAUGGACGCGAGCGACGUUAUCCAGUCGCUUACAAACACUGAAUAUUUUAAUAACAAUCGAUUUGUCUGUGGAAUAACAUGCAGUGGGGUAAAGUGCAUGAAUGAUGCAUUUGGUAACUCCACGUACGGUAAUGCAGUGAGAGACGAGGACCUCCAGUCACGUUCCACGUUCCUAGCAAUCUCCGUCACAAUACGGACACACUUUUACAUUAUUUUUCUGUAUUUGUAUAGUAUUUCGUAGGAAGCACGAAUAUUCACGA